RNAcentral lists this ribosomal RNA (250 nucleotides) under uncultured bacterium. RNAcentral describes it as "partial 16S ribosomal RNA". It matches the Rfam family "Bacterial small subunit ribosomal RNA", at positions 524 to 773 of the family's 1533-position model. The record is from RNAcentral.
UACAGAGGUCUCAAGCGUUGUUCGGAUUCAUUGGGCGUAAAGGGUGCGUAGGUGGCGCCGUAAGUCAGGUGUGAAAUCUCGGGGCUCAACCCCGAAACUGCACUUGAUACUGCGGUGCUCGAGUACUGGAGAGGAGAUUGGAAUUUACGGUGUAGCAGUGAAAUGCGUAGAUAUCGUAAGGAAGACCAGUGGCGAAGGCGAAUCUCUGGACAGUUACUGACACUGAGGCACGAAGGCCAGGGGAGCAAAC